Molecule: long non-coding RNA, 726 nt
Organism: Lotus japonicus
Lineage: Eukaryota; Viridiplantae; Streptophyta; Magnoliopsida; Fabales; Fabaceae
Exons: 4
Source: RefSeq, a predicted model, not a curated record
UUAGAGGUAUUAGCCAAUUUGAGACAUAGGCAUAUGGUGAGUAUUCUAGGACACACUGUCAUUACUCAUCAGGACCCUCUCCAAAUCCAUAAGCACAGUACACAUAGUAUUUGAGUACAUCUCAAAUGUGUCAUUGAGGGAUCAACUUACAGAUAGGAAAAAAAAGGGAAAUUCUGAAAUGGCCACAAAGAAUGGCAAUCAGUAUAGGCAAUGCAAGAGGAGUCAAGUUUUUGCACACAGGAGUUGCUACAGGAAUAUUUGGUAAUAAUUACAAGAUUGAGAACAUUCUGUUGGAUGAUAUUCUCAAUGCAAAGGUUGUGGAUACAGCAUUCCCUUGCCAUCCAAGAACAUACUUCAUGAACAAAGUGCCACUAAUCAAAACGCCAGGGAAGUUAUGCGUAUGAAUCAAUGAGACCUGCAGUUCAGAUUACCAGCAUCUAUCUCUCGAAGGUUUCUAGUAAGCGCCUUCAAUAGAGGGUGUUCUUUGAGAUUUACAGUAAUCAAUGCAAGUUCAAGAGUCAUGGACCAGUAGUGGAAAUCUCAGCACAAAAUUAUAGAACUGCUGUCAACAAAAAUGAACAAAUGACCAUGCAAGUAUGUCAUUUCUUUUAUAUGGCCAAAAUGAAAUCUUGUGCUGCACUUUUUCAUAUCUGUUAUUGAUAUUGUUUUAAUUGAUGUUCCUAUCAGAUUGGUAUUUAGGUUCCUAUCAAUUCCCUAUUCCUUCGA